Trachemys scripta elegans is the source of this 240-nucleotide long non-coding RNA. RefSeq lists it as uncharacterized. The record is from RefSeq and is a predicted model, not a curated record. The transcript has 5 exons. NCBI's taxonomy places the organism in Eukaryota, Metazoa, Chordata, Testudines, Emydidae.
AAAGGCAAGAAGAGUUUCCUGAAGCAGAGCAACUGCAGAGAGAAAUUGAGGAACUCCAGGGAGUACAGCCAAACUCAAGGAAGAAAAGGAUGAAAUGAAGAAGGAAUUCGGUGAGUGAAGACCUAUGUACACCCUUGCUGGUGUCCCCACUCCCAUUGCUUGGAUAUUUGGAGAGAGGGGCCAUUUUUCCUGUCUCUCCUCCAUCUCCCUGGAUGCUUCUGAUGGAGAAGGGGAUCCUGA